GCCGCAAUGGCGGAAUUGGCAGACGCGCAGUGUUCAGGUCGCUGUGAGGUUAUCCUCGUGCAGGUUCGACUCCUGUUUGCGGCA
This 84-nucleotide transfer RNA is filed under the name Lacticaseibacillus nasuensis. RNAcentral describes it as "tRNA-Leu". It matches the Rfam family "tRNA". Rfam says of the family: Transfer RNA (tRNA) molecules are approximately 80 nucleotides in length. The record is from RNAcentral. Lineage: Bacteria; Bacillati; Bacillota; Bacilli; Lactobacillales; Lactobacillaceae. RNAcentral also lists the same sequence under 1 other name.